RNAcentral lists this ribosomal RNA (497 nucleotides) under uncultured bacterium. Its description in RNAcentral is "partial 16S ribosomal RNA". It matches the Rfam family "Bacterial small subunit ribosomal RNA", at positions 28 to 507 of the family's 1533-position model. The record is from RNAcentral.
GAUGAACGCUGGCGGCGUGCCUAAUACAUGCAAGUCGAGCGAACAGACGAGGAGCUUGCUCCUCUGACGUUAGCGGCGGACGGGUGAGUAACACGUGGAUAACCUACCUAUAAGACUGGGAUAACUUCGGGAAACCGGAGCUAAUACCGGAUAAUAUAUUGAACCGCAUGGUUCAAUAGUGAAAGACGGUUUUGCUGUCACUUAUAGAUGGAUCCGCGCCGCAUUAGCUAGUUGGUAAGGUAACGGCUUACCAAGGCAACGAUGCGUAGCCGACCUGAGAGGGUGAUCGGCCACACUGGAACUGAGACACGGUCCAGACUCCUACGGGAGGCAGCAGUAGGGAAUCUUACGCAAUGGGCGAAAGCUUGACGGAGCAACGCCGCGUGAGUGAUGAAGGUCUUCGGAUCGUAAAACGCUGUUAUUAGGGAAGAACAAAUGUGUAAGUAACUAUGCACGUCUUGACGGUACCUAAUCAGAAAGCCACGGCUAACUACGUG